RNAcentral lists this long non-coding RNA (1460 nucleotides) under Drosophila melanogaster (fruit fly). Its description in RNAcentral is "long non-coding RNA:CR46478 (Dmel_CR46478)". The record is from RNAcentral. Lineage: Eukaryota; Metazoa; Arthropoda; Insecta; Diptera; Drosophilidae.
GAGAGCGAGACCGCCGGCUUGGUAUAUUGAUAUUAAGAAUAUUCUUAUUUCUUUGGACAGUGCUAAUUAUGUGUAUCCCUUCUCCUCUCUUAAAAAUUAUAAUGCUUGGGCUGGUAUUACAGGGUAGGCAACUAGUUUUGUGCCGGUUCUAUUUCUUGUAGUGGUUCUUGAUUACUUUGUCUUGUUUUCCAAAUUUAGACUGGGGAUGUAUAAGAAGGUUAGUCGAUUCAUUAAUUUUCGCCUAAAAUAGCAUUUCCAAUCUUUAUUUUACAUUGUUUAUUUUGAGAGAUUGUAUGUAAGUAUAAUAUUUGGUUCAACGUACUAGAUAAUUUCCUUUGAGGGAGUCGGCAUAUAAUUUCAAAUUGGAUUCUUCCGCUUAAUUAUAUUUUUAAUGCAUUCAUUGUUAACUUCUUUUUUGUUAUGAUAAAUUGUAUUCUCAUCUUCAAAAAAUAUGUUUUUUUUAUCUAAAUAGUUUAACUGAUACCCAUAUGGUCAGGAUAGGGAAUUAUUUUAAUGGUGUUGAUGGUUUCCUGGUUACCAGGGCUAUGUGAAAUGAGUAAGAAGAACUCGUUAUUUUUGUGGUCAAUUCAAGUUGAUGUUCUGAUAAAACGUGAACCUAUUUUGUCAAAUUAAUUUAAUUUAAUCAUUUAAUUCUUUUAGAAGCUUCUUGUAUAAGGUUUUCAUUGUGGGCGAGUCUGUGAUUUUGUUACCAAAAGAUCGAGAUUUUGAUCACAAUGAUUUCCGUUAAAUUAAUUAUUAGACAGUGAUGAUAUUUGAAUUGGAUUGCUUAAGAAGACUCGUUUGUGGUCCUGUCCCUGGGUUUCCAUGGGAUGUUGCCAAUCAUAACUGUCAGCAGCCCAAAAAUGUAUUCUACGGCCGGUGAACCGAUCGUUUGGCGAUUUUCGUAGUGCUUGCACCGAGAAAACGGCUCACCAGUGCUAGGGGACUCAUGCAUCCGACCAGCGCCGCCAGACCACGCUGCUUUAACCAUUUACCAGUACUGCUUUCCAAACUGACUGCGAGAUCAGCUGACGUGAUCGGCAAGUCUGGUGGCAGCCAAGAUGCCAAGAGAAACAACAAAGCGACAGAAGAGAAAGUAGUGCAGAGAAAGUUCGCUGCUAAGUUCUAUCACCUUGACCUGCCCUAUGGCCUUGAGGAUCGGCGCCGGCGGGCGAUCCAUGGAUACUUGGAGCUUACCUUCUGCUGGUGAGUACUCAUAUCGGCACUGUGUGUUAGAGACAGCCAUUACUGGUUCCAACAAGCCGCCGCGACACGGGUAAUUUUGGGGUUUUCCAGGAGCGCCAACUCCAUUCACAGAGCUACUCGCGCGAGUCCCCCCUGUGUGACGGUUAUAUGUACAUACAUAUACAGUUUGUCAAUAAACUGUUUACACACUGCGAAAUAAUUUGAAUUUUUGACUUUAAAGGUAAGAAUUCAGAAUUCUUUGCUUAAUUAAACGC